UUCGAAGCAACGCGAAGAACCUUACCAGGUCUUGACAUCCCGAUGCUAUUUCUAGAGAUAGAAAGUUACUUCGGUACAUCGGUGACAGGUGGUGCAUGGUUGUCGUCAGCUCGUGUCGUGAGAUGUUGGGUUAAGUCCCGCAACGAGCGCAACCCCUAUUGUUAGUUGCCAUCAUUCAGUUGGGCACUCUAGCGAGACUGCCGGUAAUAAACCGGAGGAAGGUGGGAUGACGUCAAAUCAUCAUGCCCCUUAUGACCUGGGCUACACACGUGCUACAAUGGUUGGUACAACGAGUUGCGAGUCGGUGACGGCGAGCUAAUCUCUUAAAGCCAAUCUCAGUUCGGAUUGUAGGCUGCAACUCGCCUACAUGAAGUCGGAAUCGCUAGUAAUCGCGGAUCAGCACGCCGCGGUGAAUACGUUCCCGGGCCUU
Molecule: ribosomal RNA, 430 nt
Filed under: uncultured Streptococcus sp.
Lineage: Bacteria; Bacillati; Bacillota; Bacilli; Lactobacillales; Streptococcaceae
Description: bacterial SSU rRNA
Rfam family: Bacterial small subunit ribosomal RNA
Source: RNAcentral